AUUACCCAAUACGGACACAGGGAGGUAGUGACAAGAAAUAACAAUACAGGGCAAUUGUCUUGUAAUUGGAAUGAUGGUGACGUAAAAUCUCACCAGAGUAACAAUUGGAGGGCAAGUCUGGUGCCAGCAGCCGCGGUAAUUCCAGCUCCAAUAGCGUAUAUUAAACUUGUUGCAGUUAAAAAGCUCGUAGUUGAAUUUCUGCGUUGCCCGACUCGGCUACUUGCCUUGUCUGGUUUCGCUUUUGGGGUUCUCCCCUUUUUACUUUGAGAAAAUUAGAGUGUUUCAAGCAGACUUGUGUCUUGAAUACUUCAGCAUGGAAUAAUAAAGUAGGACUUUGGUUCUAUUUUGUUGGUUUGUGAACCUUAGUAAUGGUUAAUAGGAACGGUUGGGGGCAUUCGUAUUUAA
Molecule: ribosomal RNA, 405 nt
Filed under: Babesia gibsoni
Lineage: Eukaryota; Apicomplexa; Aconoidasida; Piroplasmida; Babesiidae
Description: SSU rRNA
Rfam family: Eukaryotic small subunit ribosomal RNA
Source: RNAcentral